RNAcentral lists this long non-coding RNA (287 nucleotides) under Capsella rubella. Its description in RNAcentral is "long non-coding RNA (CRUB_LNC002606)". The record is from RNAcentral. Lineage: Eukaryota; Viridiplantae; Streptophyta; Magnoliopsida; Brassicales; Brassicaceae.
CUAUAUCUUACAACGUUGAUACUCAAAUGUGAAGAGAAUUUGGAAACAAUAUGGGCUUAUUUUUACACUUUAAUUUUAAAUAUGGGCUUAUAAUUGUAACAACCCGUCUGGUGGGACCCAUGGCAUAAGCGCUGCAGCGCAUCGACCAUAACCUCUCUCAUGUGGGUUCAAUAUGGCCAACCAGCCAUCUGGUCCACCAGGUAGAUUAUUGGUGCGAUUGGCGUUCUUCGAACCCAAGACUUCACUCUUUAACAACCUUCCCACCAGAUAAUAUGUUACCAAUUGAC